Hemiscyllium ocellatum (epaulette shark) is the source of this 8670-nucleotide long non-coding RNA. RefSeq lists it as uncharacterized. The record is from RefSeq and is a predicted model, not a curated record. NCBI's taxonomy places the organism in Eukaryota, Metazoa, Chordata, Chondrichthyes, Orectolobiformes, Hemiscylliidae. The transcript has 4 exons.
GUUCACGGCUCACUGAACAGCAGUUCAACAGUGAGUCGGUCUGUCAGAAAGCGACAGAAAGUCAGAGAAGGUGACUCCAUAGUGCUGACUUUCACUCGCUCCAUGCCCGAGGGAAAAGGCAGCCGUGAGGAGAGCAGUUCUGCUCAGAGCAGCAGCAGGGAGCUCGGAUUCAACCAGUGACCAGUGUCUGGCCUGGACCGACCAGAGUGAGGGUCAGCAUCCACAUGGGCUGAGCAGUCAGCAGUGGGUCAGCUUGGCUGGAAGACAUGAGCAUGACGCCCUGCCUGGGAGAGGCCAGGAAAUUUCAAGGAAAUCUGUGGAAACUUGAGAGAGGAUGCAUGGCAGAAAUGUCUAGCGCGAGGGGAUUGGAGGAAGUUUAAGGUGAUUGGAGGAAGGAGGUGUCAAAGGAAUGGCUUUAUAAUGGUGUAUAAAGCAUGGAUAUACCAGGGCUGGUUCACAAAGUGGAUGCCUCCAAAACGUGCAGGGAAGCUGUCCUGUAAAGAUGAGAGUUUGGAUUAGUAAGGUCAAGUCACAGAAGGAUCAAGCAACAUGAACUCAGCACCACUGAAAGCUGACUACAACCUGGCUAACAGUGAAAGCUUUUCCUGUUGUUUAUACAGUUCACAAUCCUCAAACCGCACUGUUGGAAAUAUUCUCAGACAUGCAUAUCAACGCAAGUUGCUCCAUUGACGUUUCUUGUCCUAUGUUCCUGCAGUUAAACGUCUGACAUCAUAAAGUCUCAGUUACUUGGUCAUAUUUACAAUACUCACCUAUGGCCAGAACUUAGAAAAGAAGUAUUGCAUUUCGACAAAACAUAACAAGGGCAGGACUUGUACAAUUUAAAAUAGGGCCUUGGAUAGUGUUGUAAAACAGAGAGAGACCUAGUGGUUCCGGUACAUAAUUCUUUGAAGUUUGUGCCACAGACAGACAGGGUGUGUUAAGAAGGGGUUUAGCAUGCUUGUCUUCAUUGCUCAGACCUCUGAGUGUAGGAGUUGGGAUGGCAUGUUGAGGCUGUACAGGAUGUUGGUGGGGCCACUUCUGGAAUACUGUGUCCAGUUCUGGUCGCCCUGUUAUUGGAAGGAUUUUAUUAAGCUGGAGAGGGUUCAGAAGUGAUUUAUCAGGAUGUUGCCGGGAAUGGAGGGUUUGAGUUAUAAGGAGAGGCUGGAUAGGCUGGGACCUUUUUCACUGGAGUGUAGGAGGCUGAGGGGUGACUUUAUAGAGGUUUAUAAAAUCAUGAGGGAUAUAGAUAAGGUGAAUGGCAGGUGUCUUUUCUCUAAACUGGGGGAUUUCAAUACAAGGGGGCACAUUUUUAAGGUGAGAGGAGAAAGAUUCUGAAAAUACAUGAAGGGCAAUUUUUUUUUUAGAUUAGAUUACUUACAGUGUGGAAACAGGCCCUUUGGCCCAACAAGUCCACACCGACCCUCCGAAGAGCAACCCACCCAGACAUAUUUCCCUACAUUUACCCCUUCACCUAACACUAUGGCCAAUCCACCCUAACCUGCACAUUUUUUGGACUGUGGGAGGAAACCCACGCAGACAUGGGGAGAAUGUGCAAACUCCACACAGUCAGUCACCUCAGUCGGGAAUUGAACCCUAGUCCCUGGCGGUGUGAGGCAGCAGUGCUAACCACUGUGCCACCGUGCCACCCACUUUUUAUUUUUUAUAAACCUGCCCCAUUUCCCAACGCGUCAGCGGUGGACACACCCUCAUCCUGCCUCUGACCACGCCCCCUUGCUCCUAGUACCGCCCACUGGACCUCCACCUUUACAGAGAGUAGUUUGUGUGUGGAAUGAACAUCCAGAGGAAACGGUGGAUCUGGGUACAGUUAGAAUGUUUAAAAGAUAUUUGGAUAAGUACAUCAAUAAAAAAUAUCUGGAGGGAUAUGAGCUAAGAGCAGGCAGGUGGGACUCGUCUGAUUUGGGAUUCUGGUCGGCAUAGACUGGUUGCACCGAAGGGUCUGUUUCCGUGCUGUGUGACUCUAUGACUCUGUAAUUUCCUUCACAGAACAUAGAACAUAGAAAAAUACAGCCCAGAACAGGCCCUUUGGCCCUUGAUGUUGCGCCGAUCCAAGCCCACCUAACCUACACUAGCCCACUAUCCUCCAUAUGCCUAUCCAAUGCCCGUUUAAAUGCACAUAAAGAGGGAGAGUCCACCACUGCUACUGGCAGGGCAUUCCAUGAACUCACGACUCGCUGAUUAAAGAAUCUACCCCUAACAUCUGUCCUAUACCUACCACCCCUUAAUUUAAAGCUAUGCCCCCUCAUAAUAGUUCACUCCAUACGUGGAAAAAGGUUCUCAUGGUCAACCCUAUCUAAACCCCUACUCAUCUUGUACACCUCUAUCAAGUCACCCCUAAACCUUCUUUUCUCCAAUGAAAACAGCCCCAAGUGCCUCAGCCUUUCCUCAUACGAUCUUCCUACCAUGCCAGGCAAUAUCCUGGUAAAAAAUGAGGUCUGCAGAUGCUGGAGAUCACAGUUGAAAAUGUGUUGCUGGUUAAAGCACAGCAGGUUAGGCAGCAUCCAAGGAAUAGGAAAUUCGACGUUUCGGGCAUAAGCAUUAUCCUGGUAAACCUCCUCUGCACCCGUUCCAGUGCCUCCACAUCCUUCCUAUAGUAUGGCAACCAAAACUGCACACAAUACUCCAGAAGCGGCCGCACCAGAGUCUUAUACAACUGCAACAUGACCUCAGGACUCCGGAACUCAAUUCCUUUUUUUUUAGAUUACUUACAGUGUGGAAACAGGCCCUUCGGCCCAACAAGUCCACACCGACCCGCCGAAGCGCAACCCACCCAUACCCCUACAUAUACCCCUUACCUAACACUAUGGGCAAUUUAGCAUGGCCAAUUCACCUGACCCACACAUCUUUGUGACUGUGGGAGGAAACCGGAGCACCCGGAGGAAACCCACGCAGACACGGGGAGAACGUGCAAACUCCACACAGUCAGUCGCCUGAGUCGGGAAUUGAACCCAGGUCCCUGGCGCUGUGAGGCAGCAGUGCUAACCACUGUGCCACCGUGCCGCCCUGCUGACGAGACGAGCGAAAUAAAAUACCAAUAAAAGCCAGUACACCAUAUGCCUGCUUCACAGCACUAUUUACCUGGGUGGCAACUUUCAGACAUCUGUGUACAUGGACACCAAGAUCCCUCUGCUCAUCCACACUACCAAGUAUCCGACCAUUAGCCCAGUACUCCAUCAUGUGAAUUAUAUAUGAAUUUAAAUUGCUUUUUGAAGGAUAUAACAAGUGAAGGUGGCCCUGAGCAUUGGGGAACUGCCCCUUGGUGAAGGCUUUAGUGUGAGAUGCUGUCCAUGAAUCCUGAUGUCACUGAGCUCCCAUGAGUGUUAGUGUAACACAGGCAGACACAGCCCAAUCAGGAGAGUGGGGGAGAGAGGGAAGGGGGUGCCUGCCGGAUUCUUGCUCAGUCACCUUCGCUGAGAGUGAAGGUCUGGUUGGAGACUCGCUGCAGCUGGUUUGGACAAAAUCAGGAAAGUGAUAGGGUAAGAAAUUAAAAUUAAUUUGUUGACCCACAGAGAGAACAGAAAUGCCUUUUGAAUUUGGAGUUCAACCCAUUGUAAGGAGAAUGAGCUACAGAGAACUACACACAGGUAACCAAAACCUCACACUAUUCCCCACAAGCAUUUGUAAAGUGAAGAAUUAUUAUAGAAUUGUCCAACAUUUGUAAACGUACAAAUAUCAACAUCAACAUUAACGGUGCCAACAUUACCCCACAGAAAGUUGUGGGCAGUUUGGCAGUAAGCUGCAGGAGAUCCAGGAGAUAAUACAAACUUCAAGGAGAAAAUAAAACUUCUAAGAAUAGAAACAUUCAGCUAGAAACCCCUUUCCUUGCUGGGAGUCAAUAACUGGGGUCAAGCCCAUGGCCUGCUCUUGACCCAUGGUUCUGCCAAAGACUAUUAGAUCGGAUAUGGCUCACCUUUCAGAAUACUAAGCACCCCCCACUUGAUUGGUAUAACACGCACAGAUACCCACUCCCUCCUCACUCAGUGGCAGCAGUGUGUACCAUCUACAAGGUGCACUGCAGGAAUUCACCAAAGAUCCUCAGACAGCACCUUCCAAACCCAUGACCAAUUCCAUCUAGAAGAUCAAGGGCAGCAGAUAUAUGGGAACACCACCCCCUACAAGUUCCCUUCUGAGGCACUCUCCAUCCUGUUCCUUCAGUGUCGCUGGGUCAAAAUCCUGGAAUUCCCUCCCUAAGGGCAUUGUGGGUUAACCCAAAGCAGCUGGACUGCAGCGGUUCAAGAAGUCAGAUCACCCCCACCUUCUCAAGGGGAAACUAGGGAACGGGUAAUAAAUGCUGGGCCCAGCCAGCGACACACAUCCCAUGAGUGAAUCAAAGAAUUCUCCUCAAUGCUUACAUUUGCUAUGAUCUCACUUACUCUACCUGGUGUUGGAUACAAACAAUUUUCCCACCCACAGACAAUACAUUCAUUACACUGCAACUGUUUGGGAUUUUUCUUUCUGCUUUUUACAUUUUACGUUGCAAUCUUCCAGCACAUUAAUUCCAUCCGUUAACUCGUGAAGGAUCAGUAUUGGCUCUGUGAUAGUGCUUUUAAUAAGUGAAAGUCCAUUCCAGAGAUUUGAAUACAAUCGAGAUUGUUUUCAGACCCGGAAUGAGGAGGUACUGUGCAAAGAUGGUGUGGCAUUAAGCCAUCGAGCCUUCAAGCCUCUCCCGUGGGCACAUCCAUACAAAAAGUAGUAAAGUUCUUCCAGUGAUCUAGCUAACACAACUAAAGCAAUUAAACUGAUCAUUCAUUGUUUUUUUCACUGUUUGUGGAACAUUGCAUUGUAAUCUGAUCGCUGUGUUUCCCAACAGUAACCAAGGGCUAGGAGUGUCUUGGGAUAUCAACAAGUCCACACAAAUGUAUUUCUUCCUUCUUUCUAUAAGCAGAGGCUAAUCUGGUGUACAUUUGGAAUACCUUAUCUGAGGGACUGUCUCAUGACGAGAUGUUGAGUAGAUUAGGCCUGUACUCAUUGGAACUUAGAAGAGUGAGAGAUGACUUUAUGAAAUGUACAAGAUUUUGAGGUGACUUGUGGAUUGUUUGAUGUGUGAGAGUUGAGGAUCAGAGGGCAUCAUCUAAGAGUAAAGGGUGACGUCCUUAAGGCAGAGUUGAGGAGGAAGUUCUUCUCUCAGAGGGGAGUAAAUCUGUGGAAAUGUUUAGCAUGGAGGACUGUCGAGGCUGGGUCAUCAAGUCCAUUGAAGGCAGAGAUUGAAAGGUUUUUAUUCCCUCAGAAAACCAAAGCUGAUGGGGAAAAAGCAGGAAAGGUAGGUGAGGAUUAUCAGACUAGUCAUUGAUCUCAUUGAAUGGCAAGGCAGACUUGAUGGGCUGAAUGGCUUACUCCAGCUCCUGUUUCUUAUGAUCUUAUGGUCUGAUUAAGUCAUUGCUUUGCCUAGCUACGCACAGUAAUUGUGGACUGAAGUAAACCUGAAGGAGCAAUUACUCUGAAUAACAAACUAUCCUGAUUACAAAGUUACAAAUCACACAACACCAGGUUAUAGUCCAACAGGUUUAAUUGGAAGCAGUAGCACAACCACCUGAUGAAGGAGUGUCGCUCCGAAAGCUAGUGCUUCCAAUUAAACCUGUUGGACUAUAACCUGGUGUUGUGAGAUUUUUAACUGUGUACACCCCAGUCCAACACCAGCAUCUCCAAAUCAUAUCCUGAUUACUUUAUGAUAAUUAUUGUAACAUAAAACCAUCAGCCAGUGACACAGACAUUGUAUUCCAAUGGAUCGUUUGUUUUAUUUAUGUAUAAAUUGCCCUAAAGAGACACUCUGUUAUGCUUUACCUUCACCAAAAAGAUACACCAUACUCUGGAACCAAUUCCUAAAAUGCCAUAAACCCAAGUAGCAAGCCAGCCAGCUGCACCAUCCUAUCAAAUGAUGGCGGUAUGGUGGUUAGCACUGCUGCCUCACAGCGCCAGAGACCCGGGUUCAAUUCCUGCCUCAGGCGAGUGUGUGGAGUUUGCACAUUCUCCCUGUGUCUGCGUGGGUUUCCUCCGGGUGCUCCAGUUUCCUCCCACAGUUCAAAAAUGUGCAGGUUAGGUGAAUUGGCCAUGCUAAAUUGCCUGUAGUGUUAGGUGAAGGGGUAAAUGUAGGGGAAUGGGUCUGGGUGGGUUUCACUUCAGCGGGUCGGUAUGAACUUGUUGGGCCGAAGGGCCUGUUUCCACAUUGUAAGUAAUCUAAUCUAAUGGCACUCCAAUUAAAGGGAUGGUUUGGGAAAAGUGUACAAGUUCAUAGGACAGAAUUUGAAGUUUCUUAAAUUUCAUCUUUACAGAUGGUGGGAGGAUGUAAAAUGUAAUUCCCUUGUUACACAAUAUUGUUAAUAGGCGACAUUAAAAUGAUAUUUAAUUUAAUGCCAUAACAUUCAAUAGGUCAAACAGAGAGAAAAGAAGUCACUUAAAGCUGACAGCUGUACAAGUGGAUAAAUAUUACUACUGAAGAGGAAUCUAGUAUCACAAAUUUUCUAAAAGAUAAUUGUCUUCAAUGUUUGAUCCUGUGCAAGUUUGCAAACAUCUUUCUUUUAUGUUGCAAUUAUCAUGUUUGUCUCAGCAAAUGUAACAGAGACAUGUACUCUGAUAUCAGGGGGUAAUCGUUCCAGUUGCACAGAAGGGGGUUACUAUGGCAGGAUAAUACCGUGAUUACUCCCCAAACUAUUUUCUACUUUCAGUCAUUAUGUGUGGAUCGUGAAUAACACGGGAAGAAACAGGCCAAAUAAAUACCAAAAUAACCGUGCUCACUUGCACUAGGAGACAUAAAAAUACAAUUGAACAAUAUGUUUAGGUUUGCUCAUUAUGAUUUUUUAAAAUAAAAUAUGUCACUGUGAUCAUCUUAAAUCUUAUGUAAACAAUGAAGUGCAGAUAGAGUCAUAGAGUCUUACAGCACAUGAACAGACCCUUCACUCCAACUCAUCCACGCCGACCAGAUAUCCUAAAUAAAUCUAGCCCCUUUUGCCAGCAUUUGGUCCAUAUCCUUCUAAACCUUUCCUAUUUAUAUCCCCAUCCAGGUGCCUUUUCAAUGUUGUAAUCGUACCAGCCUCCACCACUUCCUAUAGUGUUGCUAACAAUGGCCAAUUUUGAGAAGUAGUCUACCCCUUCACUCUGCGGCUAUUUUUGUGGAAGGAGUGGAUGGAACCUCAUGAGGAUCCUUCCACUUCUGGGCUUGAUGUAUUUGGCAUGUGAUACACACAUUUCCACGUCGUUGGGUAUCCUGACUCAUCCCUAAACAUGAUACAGAGCCAUCUGCUUGGCAGAACAUAGAACAUAGAAAAAUACAACUCAGAACAGGCCCUUCGGCCCACGAUGUUCUGCUGAACAUCUAACCUAGAUUAAGCACCCAUCCAUGUACCUAUCCAAUUUCCGCUUAAAGGUCGCCAAUGAUUCUGACUCUACCACUCCCACGGGCAGCGCAUUCCAUGCCCCCACCACUCUCUGGGUAAAGAACCCACCCCUGACAUCUCCCCUAUACCUUCCACCCUUCACCUUAAAUUUAUGUCCCCUUGUAACACUCUGUUGUACCCGGGGAAAAAGUUUCUGACCGUCUACUCUAUCUAUUCCUCUGAUCAUCUUAUAAACCUCUAUCAAGUCACCCCUCAUCCUUCGCUGUUCCAAUGAGAAAAGGCCGAGAACUCUCAACCUAUCCUCGUACGACCUAUUCUCCAUUCCAGGCAACAUCCUGGUAAAUCUUCUCUGCACCCUCUCCAAAGCUUCCACAUCUUUCCUAUAGUGAGGCGACCAGAACUGCACACAGUUUGGUUUAAUUGGUAUCCCCACAGAACCAGGUGGGUUCCUCGCUCCCUCAGAAACAGCAUUGCUGAAGAAAGGCUGAUUCUAGCAUCCUAUGCUAAUGUUACUUCUGGGGGAUUUAAAGACCCAUUCUGCCAUAAAGUGUGCCUCCUCCUCCCUGGGAAAAUUCUAUUCUUUAUUUACAAUUAUCUUACAAAUCCUUUUCUCUUCCUUUGGACAUAAAGAGGCAAAAGAAUUGCUCAGCAUCUUUUUUUUAAAUUCUCUUUCAGUUUGCCAUCUUCAGCUCUUUGGUAGCUUUCCCCAAGUGAUCAGCUUCAACCUUCUGCCUGUCAAUAGUCUGAGCUAAAACAGUCUGCUUGCAACUACAUUGAACAUGGUGGAUGGUAAAAUGUGAAUUAAAAAGAAAGAGAAAAAAAAAAUUGCUGGCAGCAUCUGUGGGGAGAGAAACAGAGUUUCAAGUUUUGAGUCUGAGAGGACUCCUUCAGAACAGAAGUCUGUGACAGGGUUGGAUGAGUUUCUCAGCUCUCCUGGUUUAGAAACCCUGAACCAUGCCUCUGUUUGACUAUUCCAACACCCCCCUGGUCCUCCUGCAGCUCCUACAGUCUAACAUCUGCCAACUUCCUUCGUAUUGCCUGGGUCACAUUGUAGUGUCUGUGUGUUAGGUGAGUUCCCAUGGCAGUUCUGGACUCACUGACCUCGAAUGGUUCCUGGUCAAGCAACAUCUGACUUUAAAAUUUUCUUCUUUUCAUGGCCUGAGACUGCCCUGUUUCUGUGACCUCCUCUAGUCCCAUGCUCUAAUAUACUUGGCUGCUAUCACUUUAGUUUCCCUUUUCAUGCUCUUGGAAUUGUCAAACACAUUAAAAUGUCAGUUUUAUGUGAGAAGCAAAAUAUCAAAGUAAAUAGUGGCUGCUGUUA